RNAcentral lists this ribosomal RNA (495 nucleotides) under uncultured Steroidobacter sp. RNAcentral's name for it is "bacterial SSU rRNA". It matches the Rfam family "Bacterial small subunit ribosomal RNA", at positions 384 to 878 of the family's 1533-position model. Lineage: Bacteria; Pseudomonadati; Pseudomonadota; Gammaproteobacteria; Steroidobacterales; Steroidobacteraceae. The record is from RNAcentral.
UGAUCCAGCCACGCCGCGUGGGUGAAGAAGGCCUGCGGGUUGUAAAGCCCUUUCGGUUGGGAAGAAAAUGGUUGACCUAACACGUCAACCCCCUGACAUAUCCGUGCCAGAAGCGCGGCUAACUCUGUGCCCUAGCCGCGGUAAUAAUUAGGGUGCGAGCGUUAAUCGGAAUUACUGGGCGUAAAGCGCGCGUAGGCGGUUGGAUCAACCGAGUGUGAAAUCCCCGGGCUCAACCUGGGAACUGCAUUCGAACUGUCUGGCUUCCUAUUGGAGAGGGAAAUUCAAUUUCAUGUGUAAGAACAAAAUGGGCGAUAUCUGAAGGAACAUCCGUUACUGACGCUGAUUCCUGGAGCAUGCUGAGCAAACAGGAUUAGAUACCCUGGUAGUCCACGGAUUAGAUACCCUGGUAGUCCACUCCGUAAACUAUGAGAACUGGAUGUCGGGAGGGUUAUUCUCUCUCCGUCCUGGCUAACACGUUAAGUUCUCCGCCUGGGG